This 460-nucleotide ribosomal RNA is filed under the name uncultured bacterium. Its description in RNAcentral is "partial 16S ribosomal RNA". It matches the Rfam family "Bacterial small subunit ribosomal RNA", at positions 338 to 795 of the family's 1533-position model. The record is from RNAcentral.
CCUACGGGUGGCAGCAGUGAGGAAUAUUGGUCAAUGGGCGGAAGCCUGAACCAGCCAAGUCGCGUGAGGGAUUAAGGCCCUGCGGGUCGUAAACCUCUUUUGCCGGGGAGCAGUGGUCCGGACGCGUCCGGGCCGGGAGAGUACCCGGAGAAAAAGCAUCGGCUAACUCCGUGCCAGCAGCCGCGGUAAUACGGAGGAUGCGAGCGUUAUCCGGAUUUAUUGGGUUUAAAGGGUGCGUAGGCGGAAUGCCAAGUCAGCGGUAAAAUCGCGGGGCUCAACCUCGCUCCGCCGUUGAAACUGGCGUUCUGGAGUGGGCGAGAAGUAUGCGGAAUGCGUGGUGUAGCGGUGAAAUGCAUAGAUAUCACGCAGAACUCCGAUUGCGAAGGCAGCAUACCGGCGCCCAACUGACGCUGAAGCACGAAAGCGUGGGUAUCGAACAGGAUUAGAUACCCGAGUAGUC